GCGGGUGAGGAAUACAUGGGUAACCUACCCUUGAGAAGGGAAUAACCCGCCGAAAGGUGAGCUAAUACCCUAUACGCUANCUUUUUUUCGGAAAAAGGAUAGGAAAAGCCGGGUCGAGGACCUGGUACUCAAGGAGGGGCUCAUGUCCUAUCAGCUUGUUGGUGGGGUAACGGCCUACCAAGGCUACGACGGGUAGCUGGUCUGAGAGGAUGAUCAGCCACACUGGCACUGAGAUACGGGCCAGACUCCUACGGGAGGCAGCAGUGAGGAAUAUUGCGCAAUGGGCGAAAGCCUGACGCAGCGACGCCGCGUGGGGAUGAAGGUUUUCGGAUUGUAAACCCCUUUCAUGAGGAAAGAUAAAGUGGGUAACCACUUAGACGGUACCUCAAGAAGAAGCCACGGCUAACUUCGUG
Molecule: ribosomal RNA, 413 nt
Filed under: uncultured bacterium
Lineage: Bacteria
Description: bacterial SSU rRNA
Rfam family: Bacterial small subunit ribosomal RNA
Source: RNAcentral